GGCAGCAGGUCUAGUGGUUAGAGUGGAGGGGCAGCAGGUCUAGUGGUUAGAGUGGAGGGGCAGCAGGUCUAGUGGUUAGAGUGGAUGGGCAGCAGGCCUAGUGGUUAGAGUGGAUGGGCAGCAGGCCUAGUGGUUAGAGUGGAGGGGCAGCAGGGUAGCCUAGUGGUUAGAGUGGAGGGGCAGCAGGCCUAGUGGUUAGAGUGGAGGGGCGGCAGGGUAGCCUAGUGGUUAGAGUGGAGGGGCGGCAGGUAGCCUAGUGGUUAGAGUGGAGGGCGGGAGGUCUAGUGGUUAGAGUGGAGGGGCGGCAGGUCUAGUGGUUAGAGUGGAGGGGCAGCAGGUCUAGUGGUUAGAGUGGAUGGGCAGCAGGCCUAGUGGUUAGAGUGGAUGGGCAGCAGGCCUAGUGGUUAGAGUGGAGUGGCAGCAGGUCUAGUGGUUAGAGUGGAGGGGCGGCAGGGUGGCGCAGCAGUUCUAGUGGUUAGAGUGGAGGGGCAGCAGGUCUAGUGGUUAGAGUGGAGGGGCAGCAGGUCUAGUGGUUAGAGUGGAGAAACAGCAGGUCGAGCGGUUAGAGUGGAGGGGCGACAAGUAACCAGCAGGUCAAGUGGUUAGAGUGGAGGGGCAGCAGGUCUAGUGGUUACAGUGGAGGGGCAGCAGGUCUAGUGGUUACAGUGGAGGGGCAGCAGGUCUAGUGGUUAGAGUGGAGGGGCAGCAGGUCUAGUGGUUAGAGUGGAGGGGCAGCAGGUCUAGUGGUUAGGUGGAGGGGCAGCAGGUAGCCUAGUGGUUAGAGUGGAGGGGCAGCAGGUCUAGUGGUUAGAGUGGAGGGGCAGCUGGUCUAGUGGUUAGAGUGGAGGGGCAGCUGGUCUAGUGGUUAGAGUGGAGGGGCAGCUGGUCUAGUGGUUAGAGUGGGGCGACUAGUAACCAGCAGGUCUACUGGUUUGAGUGGAGGGGCAGCAGGUGUAGUGGUUAGAGUGGAGGGGCGACUAGUAACCAGCAGGUCUAGUGGUUAGAGUGGAGAGGCAGCAGGUCUACUGGUUAGAGUGGAGGGGCGACUAGUAACCAGCAGGUCUAGUGGUUAGAGUGGAGGCGCGACAAGUAACCAGCAGGUCUAGUGGUUAGAGUGGAGGGGCAGCAGGUCUAGUGGUUAGAGUGGAGGGGCAGCAGGUCUAGUGGUUAGAGUGGAG
Oncorhynchus tshawytscha (Chinook salmon) is the source of this 1178-nucleotide long non-coding RNA. NCBI's taxonomy places the organism in Eukaryota, Metazoa, Chordata, Actinopteri, Salmoniformes, Salmonidae. The record is from Ensembl.